UGGGGAAUCUUGGACAAUGGGCGCAAGCCUGAUCCAGCCAUGCCGCGUGAGUGAAGAAGGCCUUCGGGUUGUAAAGCUCUUUUACCAGGGACGAUAAUGACGGUACCUGGAGAAUAAGCCCCGGCAAACUUCGUGCCAGCAGCCGCGGUAAUACGAAGGGGGCUAGCGUUGUUCGGAAUCAUUGGGCGUAAAGGGCGCGUAGGUGGCUGUAUAAGUCAGAUGUGAAAUCCUAGAGCUCAACUCUAGAAGUGCAUCUGAUACUGUAUAGCUUGAGUCUCAGAGAGGAUGGAGGAAUUCCCAGUGUAGAGGUGAAAUUCGUAGAUAUUGGGAGGAACAUCGGUGGCGAAGGCGUCCAUCUGGAUGAAGACUGACACUGAGGCGCGAAAGCGUGGGGAGCAAACAGGAUUAGAUACCCCUGUAGUCCCUGAGCGGGCUGGCAAGGCGCAU
Molecule: ribosomal RNA, 447 nt
Filed under: uncultured bacterium
Lineage: Bacteria
Description: bacterial SSU rRNA
Rfam family: Bacterial small subunit ribosomal RNA
Source: RNAcentral